RNAcentral lists this small RNA (4914 nucleotides) under Manduca sexta (tobacco hornworm). RNAcentral describes it as "uncharacterized LOC115456318". Lineage: Eukaryota; Metazoa; Arthropoda; Insecta; Lepidoptera; Sphingidae. The record is from RNAcentral.
ACUAUAACGUAAUAUUUUAUGCUGCGUAAUAGACUGUUUUGUCGACAGCGCCAUUUCCGGUUGGCGCUCGACAUCACGCACACGCAAACUCCCGUUUGCAGUUCACUUCACUUCAUAAAUGUUCGAUCUCUUUCAACUACGUCGAGGCUUGUGCUUUCUGGGAUUACGCUUUUCGACAUGGCUCUGAGCGUUGCGCUACCUCUGGCUGGCUUGGAGACAGAUAAUUUUAACUCGUUCAGCUCGUUCGGGCAUAUAAUCGAGAUAGCGGGCCUGUCUCAGUCGCAGUCAAGCCCCAGCCCGUCCGUCUCCAGUGAAUCUAGCGGUAUCGGUUCGCUGGGAUCGCUCAAGUCGGAAUCGGUGAACAGUGACUCCCUGCCAUCUAGUCCUCAGACAACAGAGAAGAAAAUAUUUGAACCGGUUGUGCAACCGCAGCCACGUCCAAAAGAAAAAAGCCGAAGACGUAAAAAUUGCAUAUGGAGGACGAGACAUCCUCAAUCUGAUGGCAAAUCUCACUGAUCCUCGGUGGAGCUAUCGCGCCACCGUGCUGCCGCCAAACAACCCCGCGCUGUUCUUCGCCAACCGCUCCCAGUACCACAGGCUGGGCCCGUACGGAACUCGCACGCAGUACGUAAAGGACACUUGUCGCUUAUGCGGAUUCACAUGGGUCGUAGCUGCCACGGAUUGACGUGACUAUGUGUCAGCAUAAACUUUGAACAAACGAACGUUGAAUGGGUACGACUGGGACACAUCAGGGUGCAUAUCAACUUCUUCGACUCUCAUUGUCACUUAAUGGUGCUUGUAAUAACCAUUAUCUAGUAAGCCAAUGGCUUUAGUUCACUCAAUAGUUAGCUCGAUAAAUUUGUGAUGACCUGCCGUGUUUUCUGUACAUGAUGGGUAUGUUUUGCAAUUGGUAAAUGUUUUGUUGAUCAUAUUUAUUUAAACUACCUUUUAUGAAGUUUUAUACAUUUUUCUACUAAUUUAUAUUAAGAUUAGUAUAAAAUCUUAUAAACUGUGAUUUGUUGUAUUAUAAGAAAUUUUAAUAGUUUUUAUUUUUGACGAACUAAAGCCAGUGGUUUUGUGACAUUUUCCUAAACGUAGUUUGUGCGUCUGCUCGCCUGCUGUGGCCCAGUUCUACGGAUGACUGUGGAAUAUGUAUGUGGCUAUCGUCUCGCGCAUUCGUAGAGUUACAUUUUAAUCGUGACUUAAUACUGUGAUCUUAAUUUAAACAAGACAAUUUUUGACAAUUCUGUGAAUGUAAUGCGUGACGAUAAAAGACUUGUUUUUGUUUUAACUUAUUUGAUUGUGUGAUAAAGUUAGGCUUAAUUAACACUUAUGAACUUUGCAAUGCCAUAAAGAGUUUGCAGACUUAUUCCGUGACAGCAUUUUUAGGUUCCAUUUUAGAAAAAGAAAUUAUAUGCAAAAGACAAUUAUUGAUUGAAUCUGAAAGUGAAACUCCAACUCUAUUGAUGCAAUGAAAACUAAAAAGUUAGUAAUAUAUUAUGCUACAUUUAGUUCCUCUUAGAAAUGUUAAUAAUUUGUUAUCCAAAGAAUAUUAUAUUAACUAUAAAUUGUUGGUCUACACAAUUUAUAUUGAUUAGUAUAAAGUAUGGUUUAGUCUUUUUGACCAAUGGAUUUUAUAAUAUCCAAUUAAUUACUCUUGAAGCAAUAUUUAAAUUAUAGACAUUUACAAUGUCAUAAUGAGCUAAUACUUCCCACCAUUACAUGUAAUAGUUAUUAUUUAAAUAUUGUUUUAUAAAUUCUUUAGUUUCUAGAGAUAAUGAAUUAGAUAUAUUCCACAGUCAUUUAUCAAUAGGAUCGUCAUUGUUUAAACCAAAAGGCUGCUUCUCGGAUGUUAUUUAAAUUUACGAUUUUGACGAGAUAGGCACGAAUUUAAAGCCAAGCUGUAGGUUAAUUUAAGAUGUAAUUAUGAUUAUUGUUGGAUUUACCGUCCGAACAUUACAUAAUAAUAGUGAUGACAUAUAAUCUAGAUGAUACGAUCUUGACCCAUUUCUCUAAAAUCAAUUUCCUAUCAAUUCAAUGUGAAAGCUUGAACAACUCAUUUAAUUGUAUGACGAGCCCAUUUGAUACAUAGUCAAAAUGGGUUAUCAGUGCAUAUCAUCACAAAAUAAUUCAGUGAUUAGAUAUUGUAAGGUAUUAGUAGUUGUUAUGGACCGUUUUAAAACGUUCGAGUCAUUGAUAUGCCCAGAUGCUGGGUUUCUAGUGAAAUUAUAGUAAGUGUCGUUAACAGACUGGCAAUAUCUCUAUGUACGUGCAUAUAUAAAAUGUAAUAUUUGUGGUCUCUUAAUUUAGUCAAGAUAUUUAAUAGUGUGAGUCUCUUCAAUUACAUGUAAGUAAUGUGUAACAUACUAACUAUAAUGUGUAAUAAUUGAUACUGUCCUUUUGUGCAACUUUAGUUUUGCUAUGUUGUGAUCAGCUUUAAAUUGGAACUGGAGUAUUUGUACACAAUAAUGUUUGACAUAUUCCCCACAAAGUUAUUUUUAUAAAGAAAAAAAAAUGUUGAUAUGAGACAAUACAGUAUGUAGUUUUCAAAAUUUUCUUUAUAAUAUUGAUAUUGGAGUUCAUAAAGAUUUGGCAAAUUUUUGGAAGGGACCAACAUCCGUGAAUUGUUUUCCCUCAAUAAUAUUAUUGUUUCCAUUGACAAUAGCAAAAUUCACCUUCAAAACAGUAUUUGUUAUCGCAAUCUAAAUUUAUUUUGAAUUUUAUCAGUCGCUUUGUGUUGAGUCAUCACUAAAAUUAUUUCAGUUUUUAUAUCUAAAAUGGUUAACAGGCUAUGAACACAAAACUUAAGUGGCAAAACUAAUACAAAAUAUUUAUUUAUAUAUUUAUGAUUCAGUGGGUAAUGACUGAACAUAUAGCAUGGAUCUCAGAAUGCAGCUAACAAAAUACAUUCAUAAUGCCUCUGUGAGAAGCCACUUCUGAACAUCAUGUUAGCGAAUAAUGAAUUUGGAAUUUUAAUAAUAUUAAUGGUUCAGUUGUGUCUUUGCUUGCCUAGUGUGCUAUAUCCUCAGUCACACGCACUCACAAAUGGUUGUUAUUGGUUUAAUGAAAUCAAAUGUUGCAUUCAGAUUAUUUUUAGUUUUACUUAUUAAUAUGACAAAGCUGCAAUCGAAUGUAGUUCAAAGGAAAGUAUUUGGAGCGAUACGCACAGAUAUAUAGACUAGCUGUUGUUGUGAAUGUCUCCUAAGUUUAGUAUGUGAUUCCCUGCUGGCCACACGGCGCGUCUCUGCCCGCGACCGCGACAGGCCGAGGUGCGAUGCAAUAUUUGCAUUCCAGUUUUGUGUUUUUAAGUUAGCAGCCGAGGGUAGUAGUUGUUAAUGAUUAUUUAAUCCACAUUGCCAAAUAUUUUGGUUGUUGUGCUAUUUAUUUAACAAAAUUUUCUAAAAUAUCAAUUUAGUACCUUCCAUUUCUAAGUGUCUUCAAGUGAUUUUUUACAAUGUUUCAAUCAUUUCAAUUUUAUGCAUUUUAUUUUGUUUAGUCAAAUCAUAUACAUGAUAUUAUACAUAUUAUUUAUGUUGUAUUAUAUGUAUUGUUCAUUCAUACGAUAAAAUAUUUUUUCUGAUUGAACUGUAGUCAAAUGACAGUAUUUUUAUAACGAAAAUUGUAUAAGAAUGAAGGGUUUUUGCCUCGACGUCGCACCCGCCUCUGGCGGGACAACCCCCGAGCUCAAACACCGAGCACUCAUACACGGGUGUGAUGCUCUGCCAGAGGCGGCCGCGUCUCCAGUGGGUAUUACGUAUAUCUGAUAAGCAUUAUGUAGGUUUAGCAAAAUAGAAUUAACUCGGAGAUGAACUCCAAGUACCAAAACUUUAUUGGUUCAAUGUUGUUCUCGUAUUAUGGUGAUAUAGUGCGUCGCGCGCGGCGCAGAGCUCAAUAUUUUAGUAACCCUUAAGAAAAUUAAUACCUCUUUUGAAAAAAUAUAAUAUAUAUUAUAUAGUAUAUCCAAUCAAUGAUCACAUUAUGUAUUUCCCUGUUUAUUUUGAUGUGAUAUCAUAAAUGACUGAUCUGAAUUUAGUUUUUAAGUUGGUUAUUGAUAUGCAGUGCUAUUUCGAGAGUGUAAUUAAGAUUUAAUAUUGAAAGUGCCAAUGCUCGUAAUUUAAUCUUUAUGACUGUUCCUUUAUCGUAGCUAUUGAAGAGCUCGUCUUAGACGGGGCGCGCUCGGUACACCAUUUUCGACUUGAGUAUAAGCAAUCUUUCGUUAUCACUUAAGUUUCCAACUAUUAAUUUUAAAGGUACCACGUAACGUGCACAAUCUCAGUAAUGCUUGCAAUAUUAUGUAUAACAUGUGUUAUUCCUCACUUAUAAUUUAAUUCAGCGUAAUGUUAAGAGUACAAUAUGAAAUGAUGUUAUAUCAUUCUAGUAUCAAAAUUAGCCGAAGAUGUUAAUAUUAUUAUUAGUUAGGUAAAAUUUUAACAUAGCUUCAUAUAAUUGGGAUGUUUUAGUAAUUAGUAGUGUAUAAUUACGACGUAGUGGCAAACAAAAUGUCUCGUGAGUGAAGUGAAGUAUAAUGUGGCAAUAAUACUCGAUGUAAGCCCCUGCCAAGAGACUUGUACAGGGUCGCGCGCCGCCCGCAGUCGCGGCGGCCCGGCGCAUACACAAUUGAACGAUAGACACUAGGCGUUUAUUUGUUGUAAUUAUAAUAAUAGCCGUAGGUAUUUUAUUGUACUUAAAUAAUUAUUCUUGCGAUGCCUUAAUUCUGGUUGUCAAUUAGACAUGUCUCAGCUAGAGUGUUAUCAUUGUUUUUAUUUAUUUUAGUUUUUGCUGUUCCGGCUUCCUCCGUGAACUUCCAGUCCAGGCUGUUCUUUUAAAAUGAUUUUGAGGUCGAUUUAUUUUUACCUAAGUGUUCUUAUUAAAUGUUACCAAAAUGUUUUUAAUAAAAUAUUUUUAUAUGUAUAA